UACGUAGGUCCCGAGCGUUGUCCGGAUUUAUUGGGCGUAAAGCGAGCGCAGGUGGUUUAUUAAGUCUGGUGUAAAAGGCAGUGGCUCAACCAUUGUAUGCAUUGGAAACUGGUAGACUUGAGUGCAGGAGAGGAGAGUGGAAUUCCAUGUGUAGCGGUGAAAUGCGUAGAUAUAUGAAGGAACACCGGUGGCGAAAGCGGCUCUCUGGCCUGUAACUGACACUGAGGCUCGAAAGCGUGGGGAACAAACAGG
Molecule: ribosomal RNA, 252 nt
Filed under: uncultured bacterium
Lineage: Bacteria
Description: partial 16S ribosomal RNA
Rfam family: Bacterial small subunit ribosomal RNA
Source: RNAcentral